AUUGAACGCUGGCGGCAUGCUUUACACAUGCAAGUCGAACGGUAACAGGCCUUCGGGUGCUGACGAGUGGCGCACGGGUGAGUAAUGCAUCGGAACGUGCCCAGAGGUGGGGGAUAACGCAGCGAAAGCUGUGCUAAUACCGCAUGUGAUCUGAGGAUGAAAGCGGGGGACCAGGCAGCAAUGUUUGGCCUCGCGCCUUUGGAGCGGCCGAUGUCAGAUUAGGUAGUUGGUGGGGUAAAGGCCUACCAAGCCGACGAUCUGUAGCUGGUCUGAGAGGACGACCAGCCACACUGGGACUGAGACACGGCCCAGACUCCUACGGGAGGCAGCAGUGGGGAAUUUUGGACAAUGGGCGCAAGCCUGAUCCAGCAAUGCCGCGUGCGGGAAGAAGGCCUUCGGGUUGUAAACCGCUUUUGUACGGAACGAAAAGGCUCUGGCUAAUACCUGGGGCUGAUGACGGUACCGGAAGAAUAAGCACCGGCUAACUACGUG
This 492-nucleotide ribosomal RNA is filed under the name uncultured bacterium. RNAcentral's name for it is "partial 16S ribosomal RNA". It matches the Rfam family "Bacterial small subunit ribosomal RNA", at positions 30 to 507 of the family's 1533-position model. The record is from RNAcentral.